Molecule: long non-coding RNA, 301 nt
Organism: Mangifera indica (mango)
Lineage: Eukaryota; Viridiplantae; Streptophyta; Magnoliopsida; Sapindales; Anacardiaceae
Exons: 2
Source: RefSeq, a predicted model, not a curated record
ACAGCAAGUAAAGAGGGAAAAAAAAAAUGAGGACCACAAAAUGCCCUCUUCUCCUAACAGUAUUUUUUCUAGCUCUUUCAUUUGGUACACUGAUCAGUGAGGCGAAAAGCUGUGCCAAGCCCAUACCUCUCCCGGGUGGGAAUUGUACGGCAGAACUAUGUUUCCUUGAAUGUUUUCCACAGGGGCAUUAUGCAGCUUUCAAUGCUAAAUGUUACAAUAGCACUCUUUGUUGCUGUGGAGUUUUGUAAUGCUUUGUUGCCAUUAAUCUAUGAAUAAAAUAUGAUUUUUUAUAAUAAUUAUA